UACGAAGGGGGCUAGCGUUGCUCGGAAUCACUGGGCGUAAAGGGUGCGUAGGCGGGUCUUUAAGUCAGGGGUGAAAUCCUGGAGCUCAACUCCAGAACUGCCUUUGAUACUGAGGAUCUUGAGUCCGGGAGAGGUGAGUGGAACUGCGAGUGUAGAGGUGAAAUUCGUAGAUAUUCGCAAGAACACCAGUGGCGAAGGCGGCUCACUGGGACGGUACUGACGCUGAGGCGCGAAAGCGUGGGGAGCGAACAGG
RNAcentral lists this ribosomal RNA (253 nucleotides) under uncultured bacterium. Its description in RNAcentral is "partial 16S ribosomal RNA". It matches the Rfam family "Bacterial small subunit ribosomal RNA", at positions 524 to 776 of the family's 1533-position model. The record is from RNAcentral.